This 454-nucleotide ribosomal RNA is filed under the name uncultured cyanobacterium. RNAcentral describes it as "bacterial SSU rRNA". It matches the Rfam family "Bacterial small subunit ribosomal RNA", at positions 28 to 524 of the family's 1533-position model. Lineage: Bacteria; Bacillati; Cyanobacteriota. The record is from RNAcentral.
GAUGAACGCUGGCGGUAUGCUUAACACAUGCAAGUCGAACGGAACCUUUCGGGGUUUAGUGGCGGACGGGUGAGUAACGCGUGAGAACAUGCCUUUAGAUUGGGGACAACAGUUGGAAACGACUGCUAAUACCGAAUAUGCCUACGGGUGAAAGAUUUAUUGUCUAAAGAUUGGCUCGCGUCAGAUUAGCUAGUAGGAGUGGUAAUGGCACCCCUAGGCGACGAUCUGUACUUGGUCUGAGAGGAUGACCAGGCACACUGGAACUGAGACACGGUCCAGACUCCUACGGGAGGCAGCAGUGGGGAAUUUUCCGCAAUGGGCGCAAGCCUGACGGAGCAAUACCGCGUGAGGGAGGACGGCUUUUGGGGUUGUAAACCUCUUUUAUCAGGGAAGAAUCGAUGACGGUACCUGAUGAAUCAGCAUCGGCUAACUUCGUGCCAGCAGCCGCGGUAAU